AUUGAACGCUGGCGGCAGGCCUAACACAUGCAAGUCGAACGAGUGGCGGACGGGUGAGUAAUGUCUGGGAAACUGCCUGAUGGAGGGGGAUAACUACUGGAAACGGUAGCUAAUACCGCAUACCAUCAGAUGUGCCCAUAUGGGAUUAGCUAGGAGGUGGUGUAAUGGCUCACCUGGGCGACGAUCCCUAGCUGGUCUGAGAGGAUGACCAGCCACACUGGAACUGAGACAGGGUCCAGACGCCUACGUGAGGCAGCAGUGGGGAAGAGGGCACAAUGGGCGGAAGCCUGAUGCAGCCAUGCCGCGUGUGUGAAGAAGGCCUUCGGGUUGUAAAGCACUUUCAGCGGGGAGGCGUUACUCGCAGAAGAAGCACCGGCUAACUCCGUGCCAGCAGCCGCGUUAAUUC
RNAcentral lists this ribosomal RNA (406 nucleotides) under uncultured bacterium. RNAcentral's name for it is "partial 16S ribosomal RNA". It matches the Rfam family "Bacterial small subunit ribosomal RNA", at positions 30 to 526 of the family's 1533-position model. The record is from RNAcentral.